This 887-nucleotide ribosomal RNA is filed under the name uncultured bacterium. RNAcentral's name for it is "bacterial SSU rRNA". It matches the Rfam family "Bacterial small subunit ribosomal RNA", at positions 505 to 1397 of the family's 1533-position model. The record is from RNAcentral.
GUGCCAGCAGCCGCGGUAAUACGGAGGACCCGAGCGUUAUCCGGAUUUAUUGGGUUUAAAGGGUGCGCAGGCGGAGGAUUAAGUCAGCGGUGAAAUUUUCAUGCUCAACAUGAAAACUGCCAUUGAUACUGGUCCCCUUGAGAGAUGUCGAGGAUGGCGGAAUGUGAUGUGUAGCGGUGAAAUGCUUAGAUAUGUCACAGAACACCGAUUGCGAAGGCAGCUGUCCAGAGAUCAUCUGACGCUCAGGCACGAAAGCAUGGGUAUCAAACAGGAUUAGAUACCCUGGUAGUCCAUGCAGUAAACGAUGAGUGCUCGCCAUUUGCUCGUACGAGUGAGUGGCUUAGGGAAACCGUUAAGCACUCCACCUGGGGAGUACGCCGGCAACGGUGAAACUCAAAGGAAUUGACGGGGGCCCGCACAAGCGAGGAACAUGUGGUUUAAUUCGAUGAUACGCGAGGAACCUUACCCGGGCUUGAAAUCAGGAUGAACGAUCUGGAGACAGAGAGGUCUGGCAACAGCAUCCUGGUAGGUGCUGCAUGGUUGUCGUCAGCUCGUGCCGUGAGUGUCGGCUUAAGUGCCAUAACGAGCGCAACCCUCGCUGACAGUUACUAAUAGGUUAAGCUGAGGACUCUGUCGGGACUGUCACCGCAAGGUGCGAGGAAGGUGGGGAUGACGUCAAAUCAGCACGGCCCUUACGUCCGGGGCUACACACGUGUUACAAUGGGUGGGACAGAAAGAAGCCAGGCGCGACACCGAGCGGAUCUCCAAACCCAUCCCUAGUUCGGAUUGGAGUCUGCAACCCGACUCCAUGAAGCUGGAUUCGCUAGUAAUCGCGCAUCAGCCACGGCGCGGUGAAUACGUUCCCGGGCCUUGUACACACCGCCCGU